This 224-nucleotide non-coding RNA is filed under the name Vibrio sp. J2-6. Its description in RNAcentral is "Intron_gpI". It matches the Rfam family "Group I catalytic intron". From Rfam's summary of the family: Group I catalytic introns are large self-splicing ribozymes. Lineage: Bacteria; Pseudomonadati; Pseudomonadota; Gammaproteobacteria; Vibrionales; Vibrionaceae. The record is from RNAcentral. RNAcentral also lists the same sequence under 1 other name.
UGUGACCCAUAUUAGUAAUAAUAUGCGGAAAAAUCGGAUGAAUUGCUGGAAAGCUUCGUUUCAUUAGAAACAUGCCAAUCAGCAGCCAAGCCUAGUAAGCGUACUAGGAAGGUUCAGAGACUAGAUGGCUCAGCACGAACUUGCUGUGUAAUACAUCAUUAGCGUCCGACACCCUAACGUUUACGUGGGUGAUGAUAUAGUCCAGCCCUUUGCGAAAGCAUUGG